CCCUUAAGCUUAGUUGCCAUCAUUAAGUUGGGCACUCUAAGUUGACUGCCGGUGACAAACCGGAGGAAGGUGGGGAUGACGUCAAAUCAUCAUGCCCCUUAUGAUUUGGGCUACACACGUGCUACAAUGGACAAUACAAAGGGCAGCGAAACCGCGAGGUCAAGCAAAUCCCAUAAAGUUGUUCUCAGUUCGGAUUGCAGUCUGCAACUCGACUACAUGAAGCUGGAAUCGCUAGUAAUCGCGGAUCAGCAUGCUACGGUGAAUACGUUCCCGGGCCUUGUACACACCGCCCGUCACACCACGAGAGUUUGUAACACCCGAAGUCGGUGGAGUAACGUU
RNAcentral lists this ribosomal RNA (339 nucleotides) under Staphylococcus aureus. Its description in RNAcentral is "bacterial SSU rRNA". It matches the Rfam family "Bacterial small subunit ribosomal RNA", at positions 1102 to 1442 of the family's 1533-position model. Lineage: Bacteria; Bacillati; Bacillota; Bacilli; Caryophanales; Staphylococcaceae. The record is from RNAcentral.